UACGGGGGGGAGCAAGCGUUGUUCGGAUUUACUGGGCGUAAAGGGCGCGUAGGCGGCCACCGCAAGUCGACUGUGAAAUCUCCGGGCUUAACCUGGAAAGGUCAGCCGAUACUGCGGGGCUAGAGUGCAGAAGGGGCAACUGGAAUUCUCGGUGUAGCGGUGAAAUGCGUAGAUAUCGAGAGGAACACCUGCGGCGAAGGCGGGUUGCUGGGCUGACACUGACGCUGAUGUGCGAAAGCUAGGGAGCGAACGGG
This 254-nucleotide ribosomal RNA is filed under the name uncultured bacterium. RNAcentral's name for it is "partial 16S ribosomal RNA". It matches the Rfam family "Bacterial small subunit ribosomal RNA", at positions 524 to 776 of the family's 1533-position model. The record is from RNAcentral.